This 253-nucleotide ribosomal RNA is filed under the name uncultured bacterium. Its description in RNAcentral is "partial 16S ribosomal RNA". It matches the Rfam family "Bacterial small subunit ribosomal RNA", at positions 524 to 776 of the family's 1533-position model. The record is from RNAcentral.
CACGUAGGGGGCGAGCGUUGUCCGGAUUCAUUGGGCGUAAAGGGCGCGCAGGCGGCCCGGAAAGUCGGAUGUGAAAACUCGGGGCUCAACCCCGAGCGUGCACCCGAUACUGCCGGGCUUGAGGCAGGUAGGGGAGAUCGGAAUUCCUGGUGUAGCGGUGAAAUGCGCGGAUAUCAGGAGGAACACCGGUGGCGAAGGCGGAUCUCUGGGCCUGUCCUGACGCUGAGGCGCGAAAGCUAGGGGAGCGAACAGG